CUCCCUUCCUCCCCCGACUCCUUCUCUCCUCCCUUCUUUCUCCCCUCCCCAUCACCGCUCUUUUUGGUGUGUUGCUCACUUUCUCCUCAGUUUGUCCAAACACUUUCAGUUUUCACUUUCAGGAAGUGUUGAGGUCCACACCCAACUCAGGCUCUCCAUCCCUGAGGGGAAGCACGUGGCUGUCCCCUUUCGGUGGAUUUCAAGCAUCCCUGGCGCAGGUGCAGCGGCCUUGCCCUGGGCUCACCAGCAGCCUUUGGGGUCCCAGUUGGCAGGCAGCCCUGUUCCCUGGGGGUCCCUGCCGGAGCUGCUGGUCCCUGGAGCUACCCCGUGGUACGGUUCAUCUGGACCAGCCUCUGAUGUGGGGAAGACCAAGCGAGAGCACACUGCGGAGAGCCCAAAAGUCAGAUGUCCUGGCUUAAGCUGCUGAAGCCACCUUGGACCAUGAGUGAUCUUGAGAAUGGAAGCCACUGUCUAGAUGUUGGAACAAAGACAAUGGCCUGGGCCUCCCUGAUGACACCGCAGAGUCACCGUAUGUGUCCUGGAGUACUUGCUCUCUGCUUCUUUUUCAUGAGAGAUAAGUACAUUUUUAUCUUCUUUAGGCCACUGCUAUAUUUUUCCCGUUAAACACAGCUAUAUCCAAUCCUAACUGGUUCAACCUAUAAAAUGUGAUUAUUUCUUGUUUUAAGAUAACUAUAGCUACCAAUUAUUUUGCACUUAGUAGCUGCCAGACACUGUACUAAGUGUUUUAUGGGUGUCACCUUAUCUAAUUUGCACAACAAGAAUACUUACAAGGUAGGUAUUAUUAUCUAUAAUUUACAAAUGAGAAAAUGGAGGCUUAGAAAGCUUACAUAGUAUCUACAGGGUCAUAUUGAAAAAAGCAGAGUUCUAAACCAGGUUGGGAUGACCCCAAAACUUGUUCUAAUCUUAAUCACUGUUAUCAGUGUAAUGCAGUUAUUAUCCUCUGUGGGUAAAAGAUGCUAUUCCUGAUUCACUCACGGCAAUACGAAAUAUACAAGGAGCACAGUGUUGGCUAAUAUUUCUAGAGACUCUUACGGAAUUGUCAAGAUGUAGACAACUUUAUGUCCAAUCUGCUCCCUGAACAAGAUUGACAACAAAGACCCGGCUUGCCUUCUGUAUCACAGAUGACAACUAUCCCCAAACCUUACCUAGGUUGUCAAACAUUCACCUUUAUAAGAGAUUUGCAAACAGAAAUAACACUGACUGCAAAACUGAUGGCGGGGAUUAAAUAAGAGGAUAUAUGUAAAAUGCAUAGAAGAAAAUCAGGUACACAGUAAAUGCUUGAUGAAUGGUACCUGACGGCACCAUUAUUUAAGGGAUCCACAGUGAGACUGUGAAAAUUUUCAGGAGUCAGAAAUAUUAGGUUCAACCACAACCUCUGCAACUUGCUAGUUAUGUGAACAUUGUUCAGUCAUUUAACUUUUUGGCUUCUAAUUUUCUGAGGAAUACAUUAUUUAUAUAACAGAACUGUAAUUGGGGAUAAAGCCUUUCCAGUCCCCAUCCCAGUGCCUGACGCAUUUUAGAAUCCCAGCCAAUGAAAUUCUUCUCACUAUUAUUCUCACAGAAUUCUAAUGAACAUACUACCAACAGUGAUUUUCUCCUUGGCCCAUUAACCACACGGAAGGGAGUAUUCGCUGUGGAGUGCCUCUGUAGCUGAGGGCCCCUGGCGCGUGGUUUCAUCAGAGGCAGACAGCUGCUUUUAGUCUCUGCACGUGCGUUGGUCUCCUUUCUGCCCCUACAGUGUGGCCAAGGCCAUUCCAGCCUCAGGAGGGCAAGAGGAGGCCUGUUGGAUGCAUCCUGAAAACACAGGCCAUCACUGUGGGUGAGAUCUACCAGGACAGAUGCCAUUCUGCAAAGCUCCUAGUGGUAAAGCAAUUUGCAGGACAACCAUGGAAGAAAGGUGCCCGCCUUCUCUAAGCUGACAUGGCCCCGCUCCCUCCCUCAGUCUGUAGCCUCAGGAGGGGACUGCUUUGCCUGUGAGUGGGAGGGAGCUACCGUGUGAGUAGUUCCCAACAGACCAUCUGAAGUCAUUUUCCCAGGUGGCAGGAGAAACACAGAGCCAGACGUUACACUGCUUUUCAAAGAGGUAAGCUCUUUUUUUUUAACUGCUAUUUAAAACUCCAAACAAAAAUGAAGCUGUGGAUGCAUGCAAGAAUGAAGCCUAAGCAAAAAUAACUCUUCAAAAAGGAAGCAGGUUUUUUGGAGAGGGUGUGUGUGUGAGGGCGGGGCGGGGGCGAGUCCUUCAAUGUGGUUUUGAAAUUAAGGUCCAUGUUCUGUGAUAAUAAGCUAUGUAUCAAUGAGAAAGGCUGAGAUUAUGACAAGAGGAAAAGGAGUAAAGGAUUUGGCGGUUUAAUCACGUUUCUAUUCUUUUUUAUAUCUGCAUCUUCUUUGAAUGCAAGUAUCAAGUUCUGUUUGGCUUUUGUGGAAAGCCAUUUCCGAAGACCUGCCUUACUUGACUGUUUCUCCCUCUCUGGCUCUCCUGUUACCAACGUCCUAGAGUUGCCUCUGCUGCCCCAGCGAGGAUGGCGACACAAACAGCGGUGGUGUCAGCGGACAGCGGUGGUGUCAGCGGUGACCGAGGCAGGGCCGAGACUCCAGGGCCCUUCGGGUUCAAGCUGUGCCCCCUCGCGCAGUUCAGCACCUGCCAGCACUUCCAAGUGUGUGAUUGUCACGCUUGCCUGAUUACUCCUUCCUUUGGGCUCCCAUAGCAAUUUGUACAUUACUGUGGAAUUGAUCAAAUUGCUUUAUAACUAGCUGUUUAUGUGUCUUUAAUCUGUGUCAUUUUGGAUGGCAGGAAAUGCUCUUUCGGUAAUUUUUUUGUCCACACUGACUGGAAUACUGGUUGGCACAUAGUAGGUAUUCAACAGUUUUUUAUCGAGGGAAUGAAAGCUCUCUAAACCACAGCAAUCAUUUGUAGACAAAGACUCUUAGGGUGUAAUGUGAUUUAACAUCUGAUUUUUGGAAAAUAGUUACUGAGAUCAUUCCGACAAUAAUAGAGUGCAAUACCCUACCUUGAAUAAAGGAUAUUUUACUCCUUU
This 3056-nucleotide long non-coding RNA is filed under the name Homo sapiens (human). Its description in RNAcentral is "HSALNT0324322". The record is from RNAcentral. Lineage: Eukaryota; Metazoa; Chordata; Mammalia; Primates; Hominidae.